GAUGAACGCUGGCGGCGUGCCUAAUACAUGCAAGUCGAGCGAACAGACGAGGAGCUUGCUCCUCUGACGCUAGCGGCGGACGGGUGAGUAACACGUGGAUAACCUACCUAUAAGACUGGGAUAACUUCGGGAAACCGGAGCUAAUACCGGAUAAUAUAUUGAACCGCAUGGUUCAAUAGUGAAAGACGGUUUUGCUGUCACUUAUAGAUGGAUCCGCGCCGCAUUAGCUAGUUGGUAAGGUAACGGCUUACCAAGGCAACGAUGCGUAGCCGACCUGAGAGGGUGAUCGGCCACACUGGAACUGAGACACGGUCCAGACUCCUACGGGAGGCAGCAGUAGGGAAUCUUCCGCAAUGGGCGAAAGCCUGACGGAGCAACGUCGCGUGAGUGAUGAAGGUCUUCGGAUCGUAAAACUCUGUUAUUAGGGAAGAACAAAUGUGUAAGUAACUAUGCACGUCUUGACGGUACCUAAUCAGAAAGCCACGGCUAACUACGUG
This 497-nucleotide ribosomal RNA is filed under the name uncultured bacterium. RNAcentral's name for it is "partial 16S ribosomal RNA". It matches the Rfam family "Bacterial small subunit ribosomal RNA", at positions 28 to 507 of the family's 1533-position model. The record is from RNAcentral.